GAUUCUGCCCUACGGGGAAGGAUGAGAAGCUUCGACCAAGGUUCGACUCGAGCGUCAGCGAGAGAACGUUGCCGCAGGCAACGGCCCGAAGGGCGAGGAGCGAUAGCGACGAGUUAUCCUUCCCCCACCACCA
This 133-nucleotide small RNA is filed under the name Klebsiella variicola. Its description in RNAcentral is "RtT sRNA". It matches the Rfam family "RtT RNA". Rfam says of the family: This family represents a bacterial cis-regulatory element known as RtT RNA. The exact function of RtT is unknown although it is thought that it may be involved in changing the cellular response in relation to amino acid starvation. Lineage: Bacteria; Pseudomonadati; Pseudomonadota; Gammaproteobacteria; Enterobacterales; Enterobacteriaceae. The record is from RNAcentral.